This 2873-nucleotide long non-coding RNA is filed under the name Olea europaea subsp. europaea. Lineage: Eukaryota; Viridiplantae; Streptophyta; Magnoliopsida; Lamiales; Oleaceae. The record is from RNAcentral.
AUGGGUCCUAAACGAUAUGAUACGCAGGAACAAAGGUGCUCCUUCAGCAUAGGUAUGCUAUCAGUUGUCUAUAUUAGUUGUCAGUUGAUUAACAGAAAGGAGCUGUUGCAGUCGACUUCAGGCAUGUUAAGGGCUCGUUUGGCAGGCUUUUGCUUCAGCUUUUUGUGGAAGAGCUUCAUGAUGAGGCCAUGCUGAGUAGCUUCCUUUAGAAGUUCUUCUAACCAAACAAAACACUUCCUGAAAAUUAUCCAUUCAUAACAGCUUUUGGUUCUUCGAAAGCCUUGCCUUAAUGGUCCCCCAAUCCAUGUGUAGAGUUUUUUUCUCUUAACAAUGACAUUUUUUAAUGUUUCUGCUUACUAACAAUGUAAGAUAGAGACAUCUCUGUUCAUUGAAGACAAGGAAAUAAUUAUGGAAAUUAGUAAUGGAAGAUAGAGACGUCUGAAGAAUCCCUUUCAGUCCCUUCCAAAUUCCAAAUAGUGGAAGUCAGUAAUAAUUAUAAUUAGUUUAUCAGUUCUCAAGUGUCAAAUUGAAGAUGCAUUUUCCUUAAAACUUUGCCAAACGUUGACACAACACAUCGUGGAACUGAUGGAGUUUUGAUAAAUUGCUCUACUAUAUAUAUAUAUAUAUAUGUGUGUGUGUGUGUAUAUAUAUAUAUGUGUGUGUGUGUGUGUGUGUCUAUAUAUAUAUAUAUAUAUAUAUAUAUAUAUAUAUAUAUUGUUUGUUCUGAUUGUGAUUUUAGUAUGCAGCGGAAAUAAGGAUAGAUUCUAUCAAGACCGGAUCAGUUCAGUAAUAAGAACAGAACAAAGUAUAUUUUGAGAGAAACUUUUUUUUUUAUAUGAAUUAUUUGAUUUGAGUACAUGACAAACCUAUUUAUAGGAUAGCAUAAGGCUACUAAGAGUCACACAAUUACGAAGACUAAUAAUGAUGGUGAAUGCAUCCAUCUCUUCAUCUUCCUCUCCAACACUCUUCAUAUUUCAUCAUGUGGAGAAAACCAAAAGUCUUUAAUAAUCAACAUUCUCCUCCUUGAAGCUUUUGGGUAAAACUCCAAUCUUCAAUCUUAAGUCUUCAAACCUGGAUUUGGGCAAUGCUUUAGUGAACAUAUCUGCAAUUUGAGAUUCACCUGGACAAUAUUGGAGAUGAACUUCUCCUUCUUUCUCAGCUUGUCUGAUAGCAUGGAACUUCACUUUAAUAUGCUUGGUUCUUCCAUGAUCAAUUGCAUUCUUUGCAACAGCAAUGGCUGAUUGAUUAUCCACCAUGAUAGUUGUAGGAUCAUCUUGACUUUUCGCAANCUUUUGGUUCUUCGAAAGCCUUGCCUUAAUGGUCCCCAAUCCAUGUGUAGAGUUUUUUUCUUAACAAUGACAUUUUUUAAUGUUUCUGCUUAUUAACAAUGAAGAUAGAGACAUCUCUGUUCAUUGAAGACAAGGAAAUAAUUAUGGAAAUUAGUAAUGGAAGAUAGAGACGUCUGAAGAAUCCUUUUCAGUCCCUUCCAAAUUCUAAAUAGUGGAAGUCAGUAAUAAUUAUAAUUAGUUUAUCAGUUCUCAAGUGUCAAAUUAAAGAUGCAUUUUCCUUUAAACUUUGCCAAACGUUGACACAACACAUCGUGGAACUGAUGGAGUUGUGAUAAAUUGCUCUACUAUAUAUAUAUAUAUAUAUAUAUAUAUAUAUUUUAAUAAAUCCCAAUAAAAGUAUUUUAUUUCAUAUCGUUUUCAAAAUAAGUUGGCUAUUCUACAUUCAAAAGAUAAUCUUUACAAACCGAAACAUUGUUCUGGGAUAUUAAAUAGCUUGGUCUGCUAUACAAAAAAUAAUUUUUAUUUUUUUAAAAUUUCUUUUAGUAAUUUUAUAUGCGAGUUUGUUAUGAUCUGUAAAUGAAACAGGCUAGUUACAUAAAAGAAGCAUAUUUUCCGGAUUGUUUAUUCUAAUGUUGUGCCAAAUGGCAUCUAUUGUUAACCUUUAUUUUGUGCUAUUUAUUUCAAGAUCAUAUGAGGCAGAACUGAAUUAUCAGAAAAGAAAAACUCAAGUCCAGAGGGAGAGUCCUCAGAUAUUGCUUCUAGAGCAUUUCGGUGCCUCCCUAGAAAGUGUGAUCGGGUGAGUUGCUGUGGUUCACACAUUGGCUGCGGGUGUGACAAUGGAUUAAGUGCAACAUUUUCUCAAUAUGCUUGGCUCGUAUUCAGCUUACAAGGAGAGGUGGGAUCCACCUGAAUUUCAACUUUCUUGAACACCAUAAAGUACGUUCAUCUGCAAUCCCAUAUUCCUGUUUUUCAUAGCUUCUGGUACUUGUACCAUUCUGACGUUUUCCGUGUCUUUGAACGAACAGACUCCUCCUUUAGGAGGCCGUAUGAAAUGUGGAUGGCGAGCUUUUUCUAGCCCACCGACUCCCUGCUCAAUUAUUUCGAGGCCUUGUUAGCUCGUUUGAACGAGGCCUCGAAGCAUAGCCACUUCUCAGAAAUGUGCACACCAGUACCCAUUUCCAUAUUCGCAUGACUUGUGUCCACUAGAAUUCUAAUGAACACUUCUGCUAUAUGGUCGUCAAGUAAUUAAUUUCUUAAGGAUUGAUACUAUGUUAUAGUAGUGAUGAAUCCUCUUUUGUGCGAUGGCCUCUCAUCCUAGCCUAUGGCUGAAUUUCACAUGUGAUGGUGCUGUUGCUGAGCUUAGCUAAGAAUGCAGCCUAUAUUGGCAUAAUGAGACAAGAUUGGAAAAGCAAUAUGCUUCCUGGAAGAGGAACGAAAAUUGUGGCUGGACCAGAAGUCAUGUCAAACACAGUAAAAUUUUCUUCCAUUCUCCGAAAACCUCUGAUGUUCGGACUCUUUGAAAUGGUUCUAGUACCUGUGUUGGACACGACACGACAUGGGUGUGGGUAUGGGUAUGAGUAUGGG